UGGGGAAUUUUGGACAAUGGGCGAAAGCCUGAUCCAGCAAUGCCGCGUGUGUGAAGAAGGCCUUCGGGUUGUAAAGCACUUUUGUCCGGAAAGAAAUCCUUGGCUCUAAUACAGUCGGGGGAUGACGGUACCGGAAGAAUAAGCACCGGCUAACUACGUGCCAGCAGCCGCGGUAAUACGUAGGGUGCAAGCGUUAAUCGGAAUUACUGGGCGUAAAGCGUGCGCAGGCGGUUUGCUAAGACCGAUGUGAAAUCCCCGGGCUCAACCUGGGAACUGCAUUGGUGACUGGCAGGCUAGAGUAUGGCAGAGGGGGGUAGAAUUCCACGUGUAGCAGUGAAAUGCGUAGAGAUGUGGAGGAAUACCGAUGGCGAAGGCAGCCCCCUGGGCCAAUACUGACGCUCAUGCACGAAAGCGUGGGGGAGCAAAACAGGAUUAGAUACCCUGGUAGUCCACGCCCUAAACGAUGUCAACUAAUUGUUGGGGAUUCAUUUCCUUAGUAACGUAGCUAACGCGUGAAGUUGACCGCCUGGGGAGUACGGUCGCAAGAUUAAAACUCAAAGGAAUUGACGGGGUCAUAGCUGUUUCCU
Molecule: ribosomal RNA, 587 nt
Filed under: uncultured bacterium
Lineage: Bacteria
Description: partial 16S ribosomal RNA
Rfam family: Bacterial small subunit ribosomal RNA
Source: RNAcentral